AGUAGUCAUAUGCUUGUCUCAAAGAUUAAGCCAUGCAUGUCUCAGUGCAAGCCAAAUUAAGGUGAAACCGCGAAUGGCUCAUUAAAUCAGUUAUGGUUCCUUGGAUCCUACUAAUCCUACUUGGAUAACUGUGGUAAUUCUAGAGCUAAUACAUGCACCUAGAGCUCCGUCCAGAAAUGGCCGGGGCGCAAUUAUUAGAUCAAAACCAAUCGGUCGGGUCCGCCCGUCCGUCGCUUUGAUGACUCUGAAUAACCACAGCUGAUCGCACGGCCUCGCGCCGGCGACGUAUCCUUCGAAUGUCUGCCUUAUCAACUGUCGAUGGUAGGUUCUGCGCCUACCAUGGUUGUAACGGGUAACGGGGAAUCAGGGUUCGAUUCCGGAGAGGGAGCCUGAGAAACGGCUACCACAUCCAAGGAAGGCAGCAGGCGCGCAAAUUACCCACUCCCGGCACGGGGAGGUAGUGACGAAAAAUAACGAUACGGGACUCAUCCGAGGCCCCGUAAUCGGAAUGAGAACACUUUAAAACUUUUAACGAGUACCUAAUGGAGGGCAAGUCUGGUGCCAGCAGCCGCGGUAAUUCCAGCUCCAUUGGCGUAUAUUAAAGU
This 605-nucleotide ribosomal RNA is filed under the name Cloeodes bicoloratus. Its description in RNAcentral is "SSU rRNA". It matches the Rfam family "Eukaryotic small subunit ribosomal RNA", at positions 19 to 610 of the family's 1831-position model. Lineage: Eukaryota; Metazoa; Arthropoda; Insecta; Ephemeroptera; Baetidae. The record is from RNAcentral.